UUCUGGAGGGCAAGUCUGGUGCCAGCAGCCGCGGUAAUUCCAGCUCCAAUAGCGUAUAUUAAAGUUGCUGCAGUUAAAAAGCUCGUAGUUGAAUUUCGGGACCGAUAUAUCGGUCGUGCCUCGGUACGUACUGGUAUUUUCGGUUUCUCCCUUCUGACGAACCUUGAUGUCAUUAAUUUGGUGUCAUGGGAAAUCAGGACUGUUACUUUGAAAAAAUUAGAGUGUUUAAAGCAAGCUCGCGCUUGAAUACAUUAGCAUGGAAUAAUGAAAUAGGACGUUUGAUUCUAUUUUGUUGGUUUCUAGGAUCGACGUAAUGAUUAAUAGGGAUAGUUGGGGGCAUUAGUAUUCAAUUGUCAGAGGUGAAAUUCUUGGAUUUAUUGAAGACUAACUACUGCGAAAGCAUUUGCCAAGGAUGUUUUCAUUAAUCAAGAACGAAAGUUAGGGGAUCGAAGACGAUCAGAUACCGUCGUAGUCUUAACCAUAAACUAUGCCGACUAGGGAUCGGAUGAU
RNAcentral lists this ribosomal RNA (510 nucleotides) under uncultured Glomus. RNAcentral describes it as "SSU rRNA". It matches the Rfam family "Eukaryotic small subunit ribosomal RNA", at positions 546 to 1061 of the family's 1831-position model. Lineage: Eukaryota; Fungi; Glomeromycota; Glomeromycetes; Glomerales; Glomeraceae. The record is from RNAcentral.